This is a long non-coding RNA of Strongylocentrotus purpuratus (purple sea urchin), 3256 nucleotides long. RefSeq lists it as uncharacterized. The record is from RefSeq and is a predicted model, not a curated record. Lineage: Eukaryota; Metazoa; Echinodermata; Echinoidea; Camarodonta; Strongylocentrotidae. The transcript has 3 exons.
AAACAGGAUCCUCAAGAAGACAACUGGAAGAGAAAGGGCCGGGAAAUUUCCUGUUCGCUUCACUCCCUCACCCACACACCCACACACACCUCACACAUUCAUCCAUCAUGAAGUCCGGAUCGGUAUUGCUCCUCACAUUGGCAACUGCGUGCUUGGUCUUACUAUUACAGAGCAGGGGUACGCAUGCGCGAGCCUUCGAUAUGAACAUGCUUGAUGAGAGGGAAACGGCAGAAGGCGCAUUCCAAAAGAGAGACGCAGCACUCCGAAACACACUUAAAUCCUUAAUUAUGCGCAAAAACACAGAUGACAGGCUUUUUGAGCCAGCUGCAGUAGCACAGAAGCGAGGAGGAUCCAAGUCGAUUGAUUACGCCGAGGACAUGGUCAAGUUCGCCCUCUGGUGCCGGCAGAUGAAUAUAGAAUGCUAGUACAUCCACCUUGCUUUCUGUACAUCCCUUUAUUUUUACAUCGAUCUUCUAAUCGCUCACAGUACGAAGAACCUGGUUUUCUUAAAUUCAACAAACACCAAUCAAGCCACGUCGGACAAAAGGAUCAUCUCAUCACCAUGAAUUUCUUUUCAAUCCCCUGUGUUUAGUUACAAGAAUGGCCCGGAAUUCCACCAUGAACAAUUUUUCAGAAAAUAAUGGAUCAUUGUUGUGGUGACUUCAUUUUGUGAUGACUACAUCUGUGUUACUCGAUUUUAAUUUUACAUUCAGUUUCACUCGGUUUUAUUUGUUACGUUAUAAGUUAUUUCGCUGUAAAAGACCCACGGUAAAAGAAAAAAACGCGUUCGUCUCUUGUGAGUCCGAUGAUGGCGCUAUAUCAGUAAGAAGAAAAGCAGUUCAAAGCUUUCUGUAUCGGAACGAUCUCAAAUCAGAAAUCACGUUUCAAGUGGUUGGAAGGAGUUACCGCUCAUUCUUUUUAAUGACAGUGACAUCUGUUUGAACACGGUCUGUUUUUAGCUGCCUUGUACAUAUUUCAGAUAGAAGUCAAUUGUAACGGAGACCACGUUUGUCCAUUAUUCUUGCCAAUGCAUCAAUUUAAAAUAAUACCAUUCCUUUUUAUCACUAGUAUGCAUGUAAUAUCUACGCAGCCUUGCAGUGUUUUAUUAGAAUUACAAAAUUAAUAUCAACCUAUAUAUAGUUAUAUAUAUAGGUUGAUAUAGAUUAAAUACUCCUUGUUGCAUGCCCCGUCGAGAUGUUUGUAUAUAUCAUUCGGUAUUUUUCCUCUUUUUAAGAAAUGCUCAUUUUGUAGAACAACAAAUUUUGCAAUUGAAAUCAAUGGCGAGUAUAAAAUUAGCUUGCUGUUCAUAUAAAUGUUCUGCAUCAACCUUUCGUUCAGAUUUGUUCAGAAGCUAGAUUAAUGUAAAAGGGUCUUUAAUCAUCAUCAUAAAAAUAAGGAUGAUAAUAUUGUAAUCACUUUGACCAGUCGUUACUAGCAAAGCGUUUUUUCUUAAACAUGUUUAUUCAGUUGCUUUAAUUUCGUGUUUUUUCCUAAACUGCUAGGUAUUAUAAGAACGCAAAUAAACUCUUACACAGUGCCAUGUAUUAUUAUUAUUUGCAAUCGUGCAAUCAUGUUUUUCGUUUAUUACAAAACCUCGCCUAUAUAACCAGCACCUUAUUAACGAUUCUACUGUGAGUCGGUAUCAUGAUACCUAAUCAACAACAGCCAUGUGCUUCAAAGAUUAAUAUGACCCAGGCCAAAACAAUUUGCUUAGUACCUUGUAUCAAUUUACAAAAAAGUGGUUUGCAAAUAUGCACUCUGGAUAGAAUUCACAUUGCCUUAAGAGCUUUUCCAUGUAAUUUUAAAUUGCCAAACAUGGUGGGAAACAUUCAAAGUUAUCAUGCCAUAGUUGCUGAAGAGGUUUUGUCUCAAAAUUCACCAUGAAAAGAUGGGAACAACUAAUCCUUGUCUUUUCAUUAUCUUAGAGGAAAUUAGGAGUCACAUUAGGCAAGUGUUUUAAAUUUAAUAUCAAAAAUACUUAAAGGUAUCACUUCCCUUCAUGUCUCCAUGGAAACAAUGUAAAUUAUAAUUUUCGUCACUUAUUUUAGAGUGUUUUUUCUUUACAAGUAUCAUAAUGUAUCGUCUUCGUUAAAAAGGUAACUUAAUUUGCGAUGCAGUGGAAGGACAUGCGACCAGUUUACACAGUUAAAAAGAUGAAAAUAUCGUGAAAAUAUAUAUUUUCAUCACUGAGCGCUAAUUUCAUUCUUAUUGAAACUCUUAACGAAUAUCCUUAACAAAAACUAAAAACAAUAUCUUUAAGUCUCUCUACUUAUCCCAAAAUGAGAGAGUACAAUUCCGUUUACUAAAUUUACUUUGAAUUGCAAGCGUGUGGUAGGAUGCUCAUUUGUUUACCUAACCAAAAUUCCUUGAUUUUUUAAAAAAAUUAUUAUUGUUAUAUUUCAAUGUUAGACCAAUUAUUACGUUAUAAAGUGAAGAAAAGAGCGUUUUAUGAAUCCUUAACAUAAUUGGGAUAAUUGUGGAAAUUUAAUUUUCACCACAAGGGGGCAGCAAAGUGAAAAUGCACAGUUGGUGUGUUAACGAAAGAGUUUUGACUUUGUGUACAGAUUGCUGUUAUUGUACUGAUUUAUAUCCGACAAGUUGUUUUUCAAAAGAAAGAAAAACACACACUUUCAAUGGCGAUGUUAAAUCUCAUCUAUAAGUACGCAAGUGAUUCAUAAAUUGUAUGAACUUCUGUUAUCGUAGUGUUGUAAAGAUCAAGUGUUAAACGUUUCUUCUGUUUUUCAUGUCCAUUAGUAACAUCUAAUAUUGCAUAUAAGUGUAAGAAAGGAAAUGCCCCUACAUAUUUGCAUGAUAACCAUAUGUCAUGUUUUUCUCAUUUCAGAUCAUAUUUCCUUCUGUUUUUUCCUUAAAGUGCAUAGAAAUAUAAAGUUUUUACAUGGACUGUGCAGGACCUGUAUAUUAUAAUCGGUAUAGUUUCAUGUUUGUAAUAACUUAAUUUUUUCAAUAUAAAUCCUAAGAUGAUUUUUAAAAAUGCAGUGUCCUUUAUAUGACAAAGUCAAAAAUAACUUGAACAAAUAAAUGAAAAAAACUGAGUUUCAUAAAAUAUCAAGUGUUAGUUCCUUAUUUUUGUUUUUGUCCUUGAAAGAAAAUUGAAAGAAGAAAAAAUCCACAAUGUCUAUCCCUGUGCCAUUUCAUUGAUGUAUAGCUUGGGUAAUAUAUCAUUUGUUUGUCAUUGAUAAUUUUUGUGGAGUGGAAAUUGGGAAUCAUGCAAAUAAAAUUUUAUCUUUAACUCGUG